Molecule: ribosomal RNA, 969 nt
Filed under: Alicyclobacillus tolerans
Lineage: Bacteria; Bacillati; Bacillota; Bacilli; Caryophanales; Alicyclobacillaceae
Description: bacterial SSU rRNA
Rfam family: Bacterial small subunit ribosomal RNA
Source: RNAcentral
GCAGCGUGUCGGAAUCACUGGGCGUAAGGGUGCGUAGGCGGUUCUACCAGUCUGGGGUGAAAGGCCAGGGCUCAACCUUGGGAAUGCCUUGGAAACUGUAGGACUUGAGUGCUGGAGAGGCAAGGGGAAUUCCACGUGUAGCGGUGAAAUGCGUAGAGAUGUGGAGGAAUACCAGUGGCGAAGGCGCCUUGCUGGACAGUGACUGACGCUGAGGCACGAAAGCGUGGGGAGCAAACAGGAUUAGAUACCCUGGUAGUCCACGCCGUAAACGAUGAGUGCUAGGUGUUGGGGGGUACCACCCUCAGUGCCGAAGGAAACCCAAUAAGCACUCCGCCUGGGGAGUACGGUCGCAAGACUGAAACUCAAAGGAAUUGACGGGGGCCCGCACAAGCAGUGGAGCAUGUGGUUUAAUUCGAAGCAACGCGAAGAACCUUACCAGGGCUUGACAUCCCUCUGACGGUAUCAGAGAUGAUACGUCCCUUCGGGGCAGAGGAGACAGGUGGUGCAUGGUUGUCGUCAGCUCGUGUCGUGAGAUGUUGGGUUAAGUCCCGCAACGAGCGCAACCCUUGACCUGUGUUACCAGCACGUAGAGGUGGGGACUCACAGGUGACUGCCGGCGCAAGUCGGAGGAAGGCGGGGAUGACGUCAAAUCAUCAUGCCCCUGAUGUCCUGGGCGACACACGUGCUACAAUGGGCGGCACAACGGGAAGCGAGAGAGCGAUCUGGAGCGAACCCCUGAAAACCGCUCGUAGUUCGGAUUGCAGGCUGCAACUCGCCUGCAUGAAGCCGGAAUUGCUAGUAAUCGCGGAUCAGCAUGCCGCGGUGAAUCCGUUCCCGGGCCUUGUACACACCGCCCGUCACACCACGAGAGUUGGCAACACCCGAAGUCGGUGGGGUAACCCGAGAGGGGGCCAGCCGCCGAAGGUGGGGUCGAUGAUUGGGGUGAAGUCGUACAGGUAGCCGUAUCGA